CAGCCGCCACGGUAAUACGUAGGUGGCAAGCGUUGUCCGGAAUUAUUGGGCGUAAAGGGCUCGCAGGCGGUUUCUUAAGUCUGAUGUGAAAGCCCCCGGCUCAACCGGGGAGGGUCAUUGGAAACUGGGAAACUUGAGUGCAGAAGAGGAGAGUGGAAUUCCACGUGUAGCGGUGAAAUGCGUAGAGAUGUGGAGGAACACCAGUGGCGAAGGCGACUCUCUGGUCUGUAACUGACGCUGAGGAGCGAAAGCGUGGGGAGCGAACAGGAUUAGAUACCCCGGUAGUCCCUGUCUCUUAUAC
This 301-nucleotide ribosomal RNA is filed under the name uncultured bacterium. RNAcentral's name for it is "partial 16S ribosomal RNA". It matches the Rfam family "Bacterial small subunit ribosomal RNA", at positions 509 to 807 of the family's 1533-position model. The record is from RNAcentral.